RNAcentral lists this ribosomal RNA (115 nucleotides) under uncultured bacterium. Its description in RNAcentral is "partial 16S ribosomal RNA". It matches the Rfam family "Bacterial small subunit ribosomal RNA", at positions 357 to 467 of the family's 1533-position model. The record is from RNAcentral.
UGGAAUCUUAGACAAUGGGCGCAAGCCUGAUCUAGCCAUGCCGCGUGAGCGAUGAAGGCCUUAGGGUUGUAAAGCUCUUUCGUGGGGGAAGAUAAUGACUUACCCCAAGAGAGUC